AGUACCCUGCUUUGCGCGUGAUAGGCCUUUUUAAACCCACAUAAGUUAUAAGGGAUUCCGGCACUCUUGCGGUGAAUUGCAGGCCUCCCGAGGCUGCCGCCGUGCAGCUUUGGACGUUGGAAGCAGAGAAGCCGCAAGGAGGAAACCCACCUGCCGAGAGGCGGGUUAUAACUAGGCCUACACGGCACGGCGGGGUAUGU
This 200-nucleotide non-coding RNA is filed under the name Papillibacter sp. RNAcentral describes it as "6S RNA". It matches the Rfam family "6S / SsrS RNA". Rfam says of the family: E. coli 6S RNA was the first non coding RNA to be sequenced, but its function was unknown until recently. It consists of 184 nucleotides that fold into an extended hairpin structure with a large single-stranded internal bulge. The record is from RNAcentral. Lineage: Bacteria; Bacillati; Bacillota; Clostridia; Eubacteriales; Oscillospiraceae.